UACGAAGGGGGCUAGCGUUGUUCGGAAUUACUGGGCGUAAAGCGCACGUAGGCGGAUUGUUAAGUUAGGUGUGAAAGUCCUGGGCUCAACCUGGGGAUUGCGCCUGAUACUGCGUUGCUAGAGUAUUGUAGAGGAAAGUGGAAUUUCCGGUGUAGCGGUGAAAUGCGUAGAUAUCGGAAGGAACAUCAGUGGCGAAGGCGACUUUCUGGACAAAUACUGACACUGAGGCACGAAAGCAUGGGGAGCAAACAGG
This 253-nucleotide ribosomal RNA is filed under the name uncultured bacterium. Its description in RNAcentral is "partial 16S ribosomal RNA". It matches the Rfam family "Bacterial small subunit ribosomal RNA", at positions 524 to 776 of the family's 1533-position model. The record is from RNAcentral.